Molecule: long non-coding RNA, 2620 nt
Organism: Astatotilapia calliptera (eastern happy)
Lineage: Eukaryota; Metazoa; Chordata; Actinopteri; Cichliformes; Cichlidae
Source: Ensembl
UAUAAAUGCACCGGCUCUAUCUGCAAACAUACAGAGACAGCAAUUUCUUUCAGUUAGCAGUCGAUCAAGUGGCCCAACGUGAAAGUACUGAUAUGAAGCUCACGUUGCUUGUCCGGGAGACAGGGGGAAAGAGGCAACAGGUGAGCUUAAAUAUGGUGCAUGCAUAGCAGCAUGUAAUGUGGAAAACAAAAAUGAACACAAAAAUGCAAGAUUAACACAAAAUGAAAGUGUGCUUUUAAGAAAUAACUACAAAGAGCUUCAUAUAAAAGAGAGCAGUCUCUCUCAGGCUCCUUCAGUGUUCAUUUCGCUCUUGUGAAGGGAUGCUGGAGAACCUAGACCAGUUUGUCUGUUCACUUGUCUGUUCAUCUGGCAUUCAAUGAGAUAAAGAUUUAUGGUCCCAGUGACUGAAAAACAAUAGUCCCUAAAGUAAAACCAAAGGCACAUUUUGAAGGUUGUCAUGGUCCUGGGCCAUGUGGGCCCAGCAUUCUUAGUUUUCAUGUAUUUUUGUAUUUUGUUCUUUAUUUAGGCCAUGCUUCCUGGGUUGAUCUGUUACGUUGUUCCUUAUGUGUUUUCCCUUCGUGACUCUUACCCCCUGUGUGCCCCUCUGUGUAUUUAUGAGCCCUCGUCUCCCUUUGUGGUUGUUUCAUGUUUCCCCAGCCCGUUAUGUCUGUGUUUUUCCCCGUGCUCUCUCUCCUCCUGUCUGAACCUCUGUGCCUGUACAUGUCAUGUUCAGUUCACCCAGCCCUGUCUCGUUAUGAUUAUCAGUGUCACCUGUGUUCCCCGUGUGUGCCCACUUUCCUCGUUUACCCUCUGUGUAUUUCUGUCUGAGUCUCCCUCUGUUCGGUGUCGUGUUCUCCCUCAUGCUGUGUGUGAUUCCCCUGUGUUCCUUGGUGAGCUUUAUGUUAGUUUUUCCCAGUUUAGUUUUGUAUUGUUUCUCGUGGCCAGCAAUAAAGCUGUGUUUUUGAGUUCACCCCCGUGUCGUACUACGGUGUACAUUUUAGGACAUCGUCAGGUAUCAGACAAAAAAUUGUCAGGUGUCAGUUGUCAAAAAAAAAAGUUGUCAGGUAUCAGAAAAAAAAUUGUCAGGUGUCAGAAAAAAAAUUGUCAGGUGUCAGUUGUCAAAAAAAAAAAAAGUCAGGUAUCAGAAAAAAAAUUGUCAGGUGUCAGAAAAAAAGUUGUCAGGUGUCAGAAAAAAAGUUGUCAGGUGUCAGACAAAAAAUUGUCAGGUGUCAGUUGUCAAAAAAAAAAAAGUCAGGUAUCAGAAAAAAAAUUGUCAGGUGUCAGAAAAAAAGUUGUCAGGUGUCAGAAAAAAAGUUGUCAGGUGUCAGAAAAAAAAUUGUCAGGUGUCAGUUGUCCAAAAAAAAAAAAGUCAGGUGUCAGAAAAAAAAUUGUCAGGUGUCAGAAAAAAAGUUGUCAGGUGUCAGAAAAAAAGUUGUCAGGUGUCAGACAAAAAAUUGUCAGGUGUCAGUUGUCAAAAAAAAAAAAGUCAGGUAUCAGAAAAGAAAUUGUCAGGUGUCAGAAAAAAAGUUGUCAGGUGUCAGAAAAAAAGUUGUCAGGUGUCAGACAAAAAAGUUGUCAGGUGUCAGAAAAAAAAUUGUCAGGUAUCAGAACACAAGGUACCAGAGAGAAAAUCUUCCUGCAGGUGGCGCUGUUGUCAUGUCCCACCCGAAUUGAUUUCCAAAUACGUCAUCAACGUGUGACCGUGGGAGAGCGUAAGGUCAUUGACCUCACCGGAGUUUUACCGUGGUUCAGGCUCCUAACGACACAAGGUAAGUUUAACUUUUUCUCCCUUUUGUUCAUAUUUUUGCCACAGUUGUGUUAUAUUAAGUUGCAGUUAUGUUGUGAAAGUUACAUAUCAGAGACGGAAAGCCAGUUUUGUACGAAACCAAAUCAGUACUAUUUUUGUCUGGCUAAUUCAUUCUAGCUAGCGACAGUGGUGAAACGUGAUUCAAAUUUAAACUGUUCAGUAAUUGUUUUGUAUACAUUUCAGCAAAUGGACAAGCUGAAAGCUUACGAGCAGCCUGCAUCCUUUCUGUCGCUCUUUUUCUUUAUUUCUCUUUUCUAUAUUGCUACUGUCGGGAUAUUUUUUGAUCCCGAUUUUUUUUUCUGUUAUUGUUUUUAGACUUUGCUGCAAUAUGUCAUCUGACGAUGAUGAAAGGAGUAUCCGACUCUGGCUGGUUCCCAUGACUGUACCAAAAAUACUUUUUUUUUUAUUAAAAAAAGAGCAUUAAAAAUAAAUGACUAAAGUACAACUUAUUUAUUAACUACUGUUCACCUAUUUAAUAUCAAAGAAGUGUAUUUUUUGCUACACGUUUUAUUUGUGGGCACUGAAUUGACGAUGCUUUUAGUGUAAUUGCCACAUAAAAAGAUUUAGUACUUUACUGGUUAAUUACUUAUGUUCAGUGUAAGAGGUGGGUGAUCAAUUAGACUGUUGUUGUUACACUUAACCUUUCAAGAUAUGAUGAUAAUAACAUUGUUCAACAAAGGCUUAAAACAAAAGGAAAUCAGCUGUGCACUGAAUUCAUAUGGGCAUAAAAUAAGUGAGAGGCAUCUGAGACGAGUUUUAAAACUUCUAGGGUUGAAGCGAAGAUGCCCCCAACGACCUUUUACUGAAAUCCAC